This is a non-coding RNA of Oryzias latipes (Japanese medaka), 4584 nucleotides long. Lineage: Eukaryota; Metazoa; Chordata; Actinopteri; Beloniformes; Adrianichthyidae. The record is from RefSeq and is a predicted model, not a curated record.
CUAUAACGCGUGUUAGAGUGCGAUGUCUGUCAUUAUAGACAAUCUUUGUUUUGGAAUACGUAAUUGCGUCAGCAUAUGUAAACGUUGUUUUUACGUGCUGUUGAAAAUAAAAAGGAAGGCGGGACCUCUCAUCUGUGAGUGAAGGAGAAAGACGAAGUGAGUGGGGGACUGCACUUCAAGUGAACAGAAAUUGUUUCCUGUGUCCAUUUGUGAGAGCUAAGUUGCAAACUCGGUGUGUGGAGAAGAAGGAUGUCUUUGACGGCUGCAGCGUCGGGAGAGAGUUCCCAGGCAGCGAGAGAGACAAAGGCUGCGCGAGAGCCAACUGGUUAUGGGCCCAGGCAGGCUACGAACACACACGUGUAUGGACGGGGACCGCCGCCGCGAUUCGACGGUGAUGAAGCCAGAUAUCAUAUCUGGGAAGCAAGAUUCCUGGCCUACCUAAAAACGAUCGGACUCAAAGAAACCAUCCUGGGAAGGGACCCAGUGGAUACUGAGGCUGAGGAGAUCGGUAGGAGGAAUGAACUUGCUUAUGCAGAACUGUGUGGCUGCUUGGACGAAAAAACGUUAAUGCUGAUUCUCUAUGAAGCUCCUGAUGAUGGGAGGAAAAGUUUGGAGAUAUUGAGGCGCCAUUUUGAGUCGGAGGAAAAACCGAGAAUCGUUAGCUUAUACACAGAGCUAACUAACGUGCUAAUGGCCGACGGUGAAGAUUUGGCGGACUAUUUAACACGUGUUGAGAAAAUAGUGGCGGCAUUAAACAGAGCAAAGGAGACGCUCAGUGAUGCACUUUUGGUGGCGAUGGUUUUAAAAGGCCUGACGGAUGAUUACAACCCAUUUUCAGUGCAUGUGACUCAAACAAGAGAGACAUUGACUUUCACAGAAUUUAAAACUCGGCUGAGAAGUUUUGAAUGCACGCUAAAAUACCGGAAUAAAACCCGAAGCAAUGAAGUCAUGACAACAAAAUACAAAGUCUCCAGACCAAAGCAUAAAGUCAAGGAAGAGAGCUAUUUCAACGGAGAAUGCUUUAUUUGUGAGAAGGUGGGACACAGAGCACGAGACUGCAGAAACAAAGACAAGAAGAUCCAUGGCAAGUACACGAAGGAGAACAAGUCUGCAUGGGGCAGGAACAAGGUGGCGGCCAUCUUGGAGGCUCCAGGAGACGGCACACCUGUGAGGGAAGAUGCAAAACAAGCGGAGGAGGAGCAGAAUUCAUUCGUUCUAAAGGUGGAUGGAUAUGCAUCUCAGUCUACACCACGGAAAGGUCUUCUGGUGGACAGCGGUGCUUCUGCACACAUUGUGACAGAUGAAAAGGCCUUCAUAAGGUUUGACAAAACUUUUCAUCCAAAGAAUCACGCGAUGGAGUUAGCAGAUGGCACGAGGAAAACUGGGAGUGUCCUGAAGAAAGGCGACGACCAGAUCGAGUUGGUCAACGACAAAGGAAAGGUGGUGAACGUCAUUCUUUCAUGUGCUCUGCUGAUUCCUGAAUACCCACAGAACAUCUUGUCUGUGGAGGCUGCAGCUUCUAAGGGAGCAAAAUUCCAUUUUGAGAAGAGCAACAGCAAGAUGAUUCUUCCUGAUGGAACAACAUGCAGCAUGAAGGUAAAAGGCAGACUGUAUUACCUGGAGACUGUAGAGAAACCAGAUUAUGACAAUAAUGAUGAAUGUAACACCUGUUUUGAUCUAAAAACCUGGCAUGAAGUACUGGGUCACUGUAAUUAUGGUGAUGUGCUUAAACUUGAGUCUGUUGUGGAUGGCAUGAAAAUCAGAGAGAAAGCUAAGAAACCAGGUGAAUGUGAGAUUUGUCUACAAGGCAAAUUUACUCAAACCAGAAACCGAGAAGGUGAUGCCAGAGUUAAAGCUCCAUUAGAACUUGUACACGCGGACCUGGGGGGCCCUAUUGCACCAGAGUCAUUUGAGGGGUACAAGUAUGCGAUCACUUUCACUGAUGACUUUUCAGGUGCUGUUUAUGUGUACUUCCUAAGAAACAAAAACAAAGCAGUUGAAGCUACGAAACAGUUUUUAGCAGACAUAGCACCCUAUGGUAAAGUAAAACGUCUCAGAUCAGACAAUGGGACUGAGUUUACUUCAGAAGAGUAUCAGACACUGCUGAGAGACAAUACGAUAAAACAUGAAAGGUCGGCUCCAUACUCCCCACAUCAAAAUGGGACCGCGGAGAGGAACUGGCGAACAGUGUUUGAAAUGGUGAGGUGUAUGCUCAUUGAAUCAGGCUUACCCAAAGAGUUAUGGCCUUAUGCAGCCAGGAUGGCUACAGUGAUAAGAAACCGAUGUUACUGUAAAAGAACAGGGGAGACACCAUAUUUUCUAUUCACUGGUAAAAGACCAGAUCUAUCCAGAAUGAGAAAAUUUGGUUCAGAGUGUAUUGUGUACGAACAAAACAAGAAAAAGUUAGACUCUAGAGGCAAAAGGGGGAUUUUUGUUGGUUUUGAUCGACAUUCUCCAGCAAACAUGGUGUUUUUUCCAGAAACCAAGAGUGUGCAGAAACACAGACUGAUACACUUCAUCACAAAAGAAAAGACAGAGAGUCAGACGCAGACUGACACAGAACAAAUGGGAGACUACUUUGUAGAGCACGUACCAGGACCAACCAAAGACAUUCAGUCAGAAACAGAACAGAUAAGGACUGACAACCAAGAGACAGACACCGACGCCCAAACUACACGUACAUCAGACAGAGUGAGAAAGAAACCCAAAUAUUUGGAAGACUAUGAGUGUGCAGUAAAGAACAGUGAACUAAGUGUUGACUACUGUUACAGGAUGACUGUUGGGUUACCACAGAGCUAUGAGGAGGCUGUAGCAUCAGAGAAAACAGACAGGUGGAGAAAAGCUAUGAUAGAUGAGAUGGUUUCAUUCAAGGAAAAUGACACCUUCCCUCUUGUACCACUACCGGAGGGUAGACACAGUGGGGGAAGGUGGGUUUAUGCUAUAAAAGAAGAUGAAAAAGGGAAUGAAACAUACAAGGCUAGAUACGUAGCAAAGGGGUACACACAAGUCGAAGGACUAGACUACUCCAAAACGUUUUCUCCAACUGCUAGUCUGACAUCACUACGCAUGCUAAUGCAAUUAGCAACAGAGUAUGACCUUAAACUGCAUCAGUUAGACGUUAAGGCAGCAUACCUACAUACACCCAUCGACUAUGAACUGUACAUGGAACAACCACAAGGUUUUCACGUAAAGUCUGAAAAAGGGGAGGAACUGGUAUUUAAGUUAAACAAAUCAAUUUAUGGCCUAAAACAAUCUGGGAGGAACUGGAACUUGAUGCUCCAUGAAUUUUUGACUGAAAAUGAAUUUGUACAGAGUCAAACCGAUAACUGUGUUUACACCAAACAGUCUGACAAAGAAAGAGUAAUAUUGUUGGUAUGGGUGGAUGACAUCAUUGUUGCUGCGAGCAAUGACAAGGGUAUGGAAGAAGUCAAGGAAAAACUGAAAAAUAAGUUCAAAAUGAAAGAUUUGGGACAACUCUCUCAUUUUAUUGGCAUUGAAUUUACCCAAACUGCAGAUACUGGCAAAAUGAACCAAUCCAGAUACAUUGAGAAAAUUCUGGAAAGAUUCGGGAUGUGUGAUUGUAAAGCCAGAGCUACCCCCAGUGAAGCAAAAUGUGAUCUCACUCCAGAAGGAGAUCCAACAAAUCAGAGAAAAUACAGGGAAAUGUUGGGCAGCCUCAUUUCCAUCAGUUGGAUUGUGAGUAAAUUAUCACAAUAUCUCUCAGAUCCUAGAGAGAAGCACAUGACAGCGGUGAAACAUGUCUACAGGUAUUUGAAAGGGACCAAAGGCAUUGAGUUGUGUUAUAGAAGAAGUGUCAACAAACUGGGACUGACUGGUUACUCUGAUGCAGACUGGGCUAACGACCCAGAUGACAGGAAAAGCACCACAGGUUACUGUUUCAGUUUAAAUGAAGAUGGUGCUGUCAUUUCAUGGAAAACCAAGAAACAGCAGACAGUUGCACUGCCGACAUGUGAGGCAGAAUACAUGGCCUUAGCAGGCACAAUCCAGGAAGCUCUUUACCUCACACAACUAUUGAAAGAUAUGGACUAUAGCUUUCAGGACACUACGACUAAAAUUUUUGAGGACAAUCAAGGAACUAUUCGUCUGGCUAAGAAUCCUGUUAACCGCCAGAGAAGUAAGCAUGUGGACAUUAAAUACCACUUUAUGAGGUCAACUGUAUUAGAGGGAAAAGUUGAACUGGUUUAUUGUCCAACAGAAAGUAUGGUGGCAGAUGUGUUCACAAAGUCUGCCACAAAACCCAAAAUGGAAAGGUUCUGUGCAUACAUGUUUGGUAUGUAAUGUUAUUGAUUUGAAUGACAUCAUCGAGUGGGGGUGUUAGAGUGCGAUGUCUGUCAUUAUAGACAAUCUUUGUUUUGGAAUACGUAAUUGCGUCAGCAUAUGUAAACGUUGUUUUUACGUGCUGUUGAAAAUAAAAAGGAAGGCGGGACCCCUCAUCUGUGAGUGAAGGAGAAAGACGAAGAGAUGAUGCCAUCUCUCAGCUGGAGGACCAGCAGGAUUGUGAUGGAGAAAUCUGUGAAGAAGAAGAUGAUGUGGGCGAGGAAAACCAACAGGAGGAUGGAGAAG